AAACGAUCUUGCCAUCCAAAGGAUCGUUACAGCAGAAGAUCGCGCGCAGAGAAAUCGAUUCAAAAAAUCGAUAAAUCGACUAGAAAAGAUCGGUUUUGCAGAAAUCGGAUCGAUCUUGCCCAUUGCUAAGCGACACUGCUGAUUUGAUUCAAAGGUAAUUCGACGAUGGAAACAUUAAAAUGUUUCUUUUGUAAGCGACUGGUGGAAGGUUAUGUAGAUGGGUUAAAACGGCAUUUGAACUAUCAUGCCAACAAAAAGGAUUUUGACAAAAAGCUGGUUCAUUUCACUUGCAUGAAAAGUGGAUGCAAAAUCAGCUACAGGAAAUUUUCCAAUCUCAAGCAGCACAUCAUUACCAAACAUCCUCUUCUGGCUCAAGCCAAUGAGAGCCACUCAAGUUUAAACGUACCUUGUAUCGAGAAUAAACAAGAGGUAUUAGACAAAAAGGAUUAUGAUGCUUAUUAUUCCGGUUCCGAACGGGAAGGAAUGCGUAUUGUAGAAGGAAAAGAAGCCACUGUUCAGGUUCAAGAUACGUUCCAAUACAUCCCAAUCAAAGAUUCGCUGAAAAUGAUUCUAAAGUGUAAUAAAAAUCGAUCUGCAAUGAUUGAACGAAUCAAACCUCACAGUGAACCUGACGUGCCAAUACAAUAUGAAAGUUUCACCGAUGGAAACUGCUUCAAGAACAGUGAAUUCUUCAAAAAAUACCCGGAUGCCCUUAGAAUAAUUGUUUACGAGGACGACGUUGAACCGUGCAACGCACUGAGUUCAAGAUCUGGUAGAAAAAAGAUAGCAGCUUUAUAUUUCAAAGUGCAAAAUCUUCCAAGGCAAUUUAACUCCUCUACAAAAUCGGUAUUUCCACUGAUAUAUGUGAAAUCAUCAGAUGUCAAGCGGUACACCUACAACAGAAUUCUAGAGCCCCUAGUCGCAGAUUUAAGAAAAUUAGAAAACGAUAUAACCGUUUACUUCGGACAAGAGAGAUGCUUAAUUCGAGGAGAAGUUAUUGUAAUAGCAGGGGAUACCCUAGCUGUUCACGAGCUGUUUGGUUUGUUAGGACCCUCCGCCAAUAUGUUUUGCAGAGAGUGUACAAUUUCUAGAAAUAAAUUUCGUCUGGACCCUUUCAUGAACUCAUAUCCGCUAAGUGAUAGAAAAUGGUACGACAUGAACUUGAAUAAAGUUCGCAAAAAGAAAAAUUCAUUGAACGAGUGUGGCUUAAGACCCACAGGUUGCAUCUUAAAUGAUCUUCAGGAAUUUCACAUAACGAAAAAUCAUUCGUUCGACACCAUGCAUGAUUUGGCCGAAGGAGUGAUACCAAUGACAAUACAGCUGGUUCUUUCUCGAUAUUACAAAAAUAAAAGGCUUGGGUUCACUGUCGAUUUCAUCAACCAUCGGAUUGCAACAUUUGCUUAUGGUUACCGUGAAAAGAAAAAUAAACCAUCGUCUAACAUCACUGCUCAAAUGCUUCUGCAGCCUAAAUCAUACCGGAUGAGACAAACGGCGUCCCAGUAUCUUCUUCUAAGAGCCUUCCCGUUUCUUUUCAAUCAUAAAGUACCAGAAGAUUGUCCAUACAUGGCUCUCAUUAGCUGCUUUAUCAACAUAACACGCAUAUCGUUUUCCCCAACAGUGCCAGACUUACUGAUAGCAGAACUUGAAAUGGAAAUCGAAAUAUUCUAUAACCAGUUUUUCAAUUUAUUCAAACGCCGUCCGAAUAAACUACAUCAUCUCUAUCAUUACCCAGAAUGCAUUAAAGAAAUUGGACCGUUGCAACAAUACGAUUGUCGUGUUUUUGAGCAGAAGAACAAAACAUAAAAACGCAAAUGAAUACUGCGAAAAACUUCAAAAAUGUUUGCCUUAGCUUAGCCAGACGACAAUUGUUUGCACAAGCUGUAGCCAUUGCAGAAAGACCAUUCAAAGAUCACUUGACUUAUCAAUCUGGAAAAAUGGUUUUAUUAGAAAAUUUAAAAUCGGCUCAUUUGUUGCAUUUCAACCCAGAGAAUCGCUGUUUUGUUCCCAAAGAAAUGUUAUUCAAUGGAAUCAGAUUCCGAACUAAUUGUGUCGUAUCUGUUAAAAAUAAUAAUUUAAAUGGCCUCCCUACGUUCGGGGUAAUACAUGAAAUUAUCGUGAUGGACAAUAACCCAAAAAUGUUGUUGACGAUAUGGGAAACAAUUGAUUUUGAUGAUGUUCUGCAAGCGUACCUGGUCGAAAACACAAACCAAGAGCUCUUAGUAUCCCUGGAAAACAUACACGGUCACACAACUUUUUCUUUUUGGAAAACAUAUAAUAAUUUAAGACAUUACAUAUCCAGAAGAAUAUAUAAUAGUGAUUGUUAACAACAGUCGCAUAAUCAAAAAUCAAUUUUCUACAGUUCAUGAAGAGAUCAUCGACAUAGAAACGUUUUUGUUGCUGGAUGAAAGCGAUUUUACCCGUUUAAAUUUGACCACCGGACAGAGGAAGAAAAUUAUCAAAGUUCAGGCGCAAAUCCUGAGCAAAUCAAAAACAACAGGAGAAAUGCCGGAAAGUGAAGAAUAUGAAGGAUAUGAAUAUAUAGAGCACGAAGACGAACUUGGUAUUUCACUGGAAGACGAAUUUGAUAUUGACUGUGUAUUUCAACAGACACUAGAAGGCCGUAAUAUAAUCGAAUUGUUAAAAGGACAGAAUGGAGUUGACAGCAAAUUAUCACGAGCGUACUGAGUGGAUACCUGAUUAAUAGGUUUGGAUAUCAUCCAAGUGUGCAUCAUAGAAAUGUUGUGGCCAUGUCUCUAGUAAAUAAAUAUGCUAGUUUAAGAUCAAAAAGCGCUGACCUACCACAGGCGUUAUGGUUUUAUCCGGAUGGAAGCGGACCCGGAAGACAUAGCGGCAAGUUGCACUACCAUAUUGAAUUCAUGGUUAAGAAAAAUCACAAGCAAAUUCAUCGGUUAAGAAAUGAGCAUUCUGAGUUUGAAGAGACACACAGCGUUGUCAACGAUUCUUCGACAGGCGAGGAAUUACAUGACAUGAUUACUAAACUGAAGUUCAUUGUACCAUCGGAUGCCUCGUUCGACGUGAUUAAAACCUCCAGUCCAGGGAAAGACAGUUGAAGCCCGAAAUGCUUUACGGAAACGAGAAAAACCAGAAGACUUGAUAGAGAAUAUGAUUGAAAAUUUUCCUUUAUUGUUUGCAUUUAAUGGCUCUUUGAUUAGCUUGGAUUCCGUACAUAUGUUCCCAGAGCUUAUUGAAAAUAAUAACAAGUGGAAUUUAUUACAGGAUACCAUUCUAACCAAGUUCAAACAUCUACACCCAACUGUUAACAACCAAUUCAUUCGAUCAUUGUUAAUUAUCAAAGAUAAAAAUCCAUCCCGUGGAGUUAAACGGGUCAAUAAAGGUUCGCAAAAGAUAACCAACCUAUUGGAAGGAACUGUCGAGUGGAUAAAUCCGGAAGAUGAUAUUCAUAAAUACGUUGCGGAUUAUCGGAAUAUGAAAAAUCCAGUGAUGAUCAUUAAAGCACAACUAUACGCUGAGGGCGAUAGCUACAUCCGCAUCGGAAAACGUGCUUUUUCGAUUGGGUACGAAAUCGAGGAAGCGUUCAACACUUUGAUUAAAACUCACUAUUUUUUUAACUUGAAGUUUGAGCCGUCUCAUGCAAACUUUUUCUCUUUUUUCACGGGGACAGUUUUUAACGUGACCAAAUCAUCAACUACCGUAGCCGAUUUUAUCCUUCAAUUGAAUUCUUAAAUAAAUUUAAAGAAUGUUAUAAAAUGGAUCGAUAAUCAUUUUUUGUAAUUGAAAUAAAAUCUUCAGAAAUGCAUAGAUAA
Molecule: RNA transcript, 3785 nt
Organism: Wyeomyia smithii (pitcher-plant mosquito)
Lineage: Eukaryota; Metazoa; Arthropoda; Insecta; Diptera; Culicidae
Exons: 10
Source: RefSeq, a predicted model, not a curated record